This 1005-nucleotide ribosomal RNA is filed under the name Salmonella enterica subsp. enterica serovar Enteritidis. RNAcentral's name for it is "partial 23S ribosomal RNA". The stretch from base 131 to 1005 matches the Rfam family "Bacterial large subunit ribosomal RNA", at positions 572 to 1447 of the family's 2925-position model. The record is from RNAcentral. Lineage: Bacteria; Pseudomonadati; Pseudomonadota; Gammaproteobacteria; Enterobacterales; Enterobacteriaceae.
CCACCACCAAAGCAUUUGCUGUACCGCGUUGACGGAGCGAAGCGACGUCAAACCGAUAAAACAGCAGUGUAAAGUGAGCCGCAGGGCGCUUUGCGCGACAGCGCAAAGGCAGGCGGUUUCGCGUAGCGAAAGCGAAUGCUUUGGGGUGGGGUGACUGCGUACCUUUUGUAUAAUGGGUCAGCGACUUAUAUUCUGUAGCAAGGUUAACCGAAUAGGGGAGCCGGAGGGAAACCGAGUCUUAAUUGGGCGUUAAGUUGCAGGGUAUAGACCCGAAACCCGGUGAUCUAGCCAUGGGCAGGUUGAAGGUUGGGUAACACUAACUGGAGGACCGAACCGACUAAUGUUGAAAAAUUAGCGGAUGACCUGUGGCUGGGGGUGAAAGGCCAAUCAAACCGGGAGAUAGCUGGUUCUCCCCGAAAGCUAUUUAGGUAGCGCCUCGUGAAUUCAUCUCCGGGGGUAGAGCACUGUUUCGGCUAGGGGGCCAUCCCGGCUUACCAACCCGAUGCAAACUGCGAAUACCGGAGAAUGUUAUCACGGGAGACACACGGCGGGUGCUAACGUCCGUCGUGAAGAGGGAAACAACCCAGACCGCCAGCUAAGGUCCCAAAGUCAUGGUUAAGUGGGAAACGAUGUGGGAAGGCCCAGACAGCCAGGAUGUUGGCUUAGAAGCAGCCAUCAUUUAAAGAAAGCGUAAUAGCUCACUGGUCGAGUCGGCCUGCGCGGAAGAUGUAACGGGGCUAAACCAUGCACCGAAGCUGCGGCAGCGACGCUGAUGCGUUGUUGGGUAGGGGAGCGUUCUGUAAGCCUGCGAAGGUGGCCUGUGAGGGUUGCUGGAGGUAUCAGAAGUGCGAAUGCUGACAUAAGUAACGAUAAAGCGGGUGAAAAGCCCGCUCGCCGGAAGACCAAGGGUUCCUGUCCAACGUUAAUCGGGGCAGGGUGAGUCGACCCCUAAGGCGAGGCCGAAAGGCGUAGUCGAUGGGAAACGGGUUAAUAUUCCCGUACUUG